This 253-nucleotide ribosomal RNA is filed under the name uncultured bacterium. RNAcentral's name for it is "partial 16S ribosomal RNA". It matches the Rfam family "Bacterial small subunit ribosomal RNA", at positions 524 to 776 of the family's 1533-position model. The record is from RNAcentral.
AACGUAGGACGCAAGCGUUAUCCGGAGUUAUUGGGCGUAAAGCGCGUGUAGGCGGCUUUGCAAGUCGGGUGUGAAAUCCCACGGCUCAACCGUGGAAGUGCACUCGAAACUGCGUAGCUAGAGUCCUGGAGAGGAAGGUGGAAUGCUUGGUGUAGAGGUGAAAUUCGUAGAUAUCAAGCGGAACACCGGUGGCGAAGGCGGCCUUCUGGACAGUGACUGACGCUGAGACGCGAAAGCGUGGGGAGCGAACAGG